UAGGAUUAAUGGUGUACAUCACGACUAC
RNAcentral lists this non-coding RNA (28 nucleotides) under Mus musculus (house mouse). Lineage: Eukaryota; Metazoa; Chordata; Mammalia; Rodentia; Muridae. The record is from RNAcentral.